GCUUACGGCCAUACCAGCCUGAAAGCGCCCGAUCUUGUCAGAUCUCAGAAGCUAAGCAGGGUCGGGCCUGGUUAGUACUUGGAUGGGAGACUUCCUGGGAAUACCAGGUGCUGUAAGCU
Ribosomal RNA from Hucho hucho (huchen), 119 nucleotides. The record is from Ensembl. Lineage: Eukaryota; Metazoa; Chordata; Actinopteri; Salmoniformes; Salmonidae.